UUCCCUGUGGCUCAGUUGGUAGAGCAUGGUGUUUGCCAUGCCAGCAUGGUGUGUGCAACGCCAGGGUUGUGGGUUCGAUUCCCACAGGGGGGC
This is a non-coding RNA of Salmo salar (Atlantic salmon), 93 nucleotides long. The record is from Rfam. NCBI's taxonomy places the organism in Eukaryota, Metazoa, Chordata, Actinopteri, Salmoniformes, Salmonidae.